This 29-nucleotide non-coding RNA is filed under the name Mus musculus (house mouse). Lineage: Eukaryota; Metazoa; Chordata; Mammalia; Rodentia; Muridae. The record is from RNAcentral.
UGACAGAUGGAUGACAAAUGCCCGAAUGA